UCUCCUGCAUUGUAGGCAGAUGCCUUACUGUCUGAGCCACCAGGGAAGUCCCACAGACUGAGAAGGAGCCCACAAAUGAAAAGAAUGGAAGAGCCUGGUCAUCUGAAAUUGACUCUCAGCCUGGACUCUCAGGAGCUGAAUGACCUUGGGAUAUGGAUCCUGAAUAAAUUUUCUGCAGGCCUUCCUUCUGCAGAUAUCACCAUCAGCACCUGGAGGACUAACCUGUGGAAACUGGCAGUCCAAAAAAGCAGGUGGUGUUCACCCUAAAAAAUAUCCAGCACACUAGACUCCAUCUGAGCAUCUGCUUCUGAAGAACCCAACCAGCAACAGCAAGAAUUACAGAAGCAUUAGUUCUCUUCUGUCCCAUAAUUCUGAUGUCUUCAUGUGAGCAGGACCAGCUCUAAAUGCCAUGGUUCAGCAGAGAGUUCAGUACCCUACUAGUUCGUAUGGUUAAAUCUCAGUGGGGUUAUAUUAAUUUCUUAUUGCUGCUGUGAAAAACUACCACAAA
Molecule: long non-coding RNA, 508 nt
Organism: Capra hircus (goat)
Lineage: Eukaryota; Metazoa; Chordata; Mammalia; Artiodactyla; Bovidae
Exons: 3
Source: RefSeq, a predicted model, not a curated record